RNAcentral lists this ribosomal RNA (301 nucleotides) under uncultured bacterium. RNAcentral describes it as "partial 16S ribosomal RNA". It matches the Rfam family "Bacterial small subunit ribosomal RNA", at positions 509 to 807 of the family's 1533-position model. The record is from RNAcentral.
CAGCCGCCACGGUAAUACGAAGGGUGCAAGCGUUAAUCGGAAUUACUGGGCGUAAAGCGUGCGUAGGCGGUGAGUUAAGUCUGCUGUGAAAUCCCCGGGCUCAACCUGGGAAUGGCAGUGGAUACUGGCUCGCUAGAGUGUGUCAGAGGAUGGUGGAAUUCCCGGUGUAGCGGUGAAAUGCGUAGAGAUCGGGAGGAACAUCAGUGGCGAAGGCGGCCAUCUGGGACAACACUGACGCUGAGGCACGAGAGCGUGGGGAGCAAACAGGAUUAGAUACCCGCGUAGUCCCUGUCUCUUAUAC